AAUUCUCAACCCCUCUCGAUUUAUUUCGAGGGGGAGCUUGGAUGGUGGGGGCUGCCGGAGACUAGGACUCGUCCUGGACUCGGGCUCUCCUUAAAUGCAUCGGCUUGCGGUCGACUUUCGACUUUGCGCGACAAGGCUUUCGGCGUGAUACUGAUCGCCGUUCGCUGAAGCGCAUGAAUGAAGGUCCCGCGCCUCUAAUACGUCGACUGUUACUAUCUCUUCGGAGAGAAAACGUCUUCCUCAAUUGAC
RNAcentral lists this unclassified non-coding RNA (249 nucleotides) under fungal sp. RNAcentral's name for it is "partial internal transcribed spacer 2". The record is from RNAcentral. Lineage: Eukaryota; Fungi.